This 711-nucleotide small RNA is filed under the name Bos taurus (domestic cattle). Lineage: Eukaryota; Metazoa; Chordata; Mammalia; Artiodactyla; Bovidae. The record is from RNAcentral.
UGUGUGUGUGUGUGUGUGUGUGUGUGUGUCUCCAGCCCAGGGAAAAAACAGAGAUAAACGCGACAGGAGAGGAAAUGCCAAGCAAUCAGAAGAGGAGGCACAAGGCGUCCCCAGUCUGAGGGUGAUUGAUCGCCCUAUCUCCGCAGGACCCUGUCCAGGAUGGGAAUGAGGAAAGGAUGGUCAGAGAUAACUCAGGACCUUGGCUCCAGAAGUGCGCAAUGAGACAAAAUGCAAAAACACGCUCACUAUUUCUCCGUGUUCUUGUAUGUGUUUGGACCAGGAAGAGCGGGUGCAUGGUCUGUGGAUUCACCCAGGGCAUAUCAGGUGGGGUGGGCCUUUAAAACCACCGCCUGUGGAGCCCACAGUUUGUGGGGACAUAGGCCGUCCUGUGGAAAUGGUGGAUGUGGAUACAGAGGACCUGGGAUGUUGAGGAGGCUAAGGUCUUGCUGAGAAGGACAGAGACUCGAAGGAGAAAGAGGCACAGAUUGAUGUACUGGAGACUUGUUCCGCACAUGUGAGAAGGAGACCCAGGAAGGUCCUGGGCGAGUGCUUGCCAGGAUCAGCCCAUCAGCCAGCACACUCCCUCCAUGAGGGUGGCACACACUGGCACAAUGUAACACAAAAUGCGAGACAUGCUAAAGUAGGCUGUCCGUGCAAAACCACAGGCAUCCUAGGAGAGACAAGGCGAGAGGGUCUCACGAAUUCCGCUCA